This 253-nucleotide ribosomal RNA is filed under the name uncultured bacterium. Its description in RNAcentral is "partial 16S ribosomal RNA". It matches the Rfam family "Bacterial small subunit ribosomal RNA", at positions 524 to 776 of the family's 1533-position model. The record is from RNAcentral.
UACGUAGGGUGCAAGCGUUGUCCGGAAUUAUUGGGCGUAAAGAGCUCGUAGGCGGUUUGUCGCGUCUGCUGUGAAAACCCGAGGCUCAACCUCGGGCCUGCAGUGGGUACGGGCAGACUAGAGUGCGGUAGGGGAGAUUGGAAUUCCUGGUGUAGCGGUGGAAUGCGCAGAUAUCAGGAGGAACACCAAUGGCGAAGGCAGAUCUCUGGGCCGUAACUGACGCUGAGGAGCGAAAGUGUGGGGAGCAAACGGG